UGGGGAAUAUUGCACAAUGGAGGGAACUCUGAUGCAGCGACGCCGCGUGAACGAAGAAGGCUUUCGAGUCGUAAAGUUCUUUUAUAUGGGAAGAUAAUGACGGUACCAUAAGAAAAAGCCCCGGCUAACUACGUGCCAGCAGCCGCGGUAAUACGUAGGGGGCUAGCGUUGUCCGGAAUCACUGGGCGUAAGGGUUCGCAGGCGGAAAUGCAAGUCAGGUGUAAAAGGCAGUAGCUUAACUACUGUAAGCAUUUGAAACUGCAUAUCUUGAGAAGAGUAGAGGUAAGUGGAAUUUUUAGUGUAGCGGUGAAAUGCGUAGAUAUUAAAAAGAAUACCGGUGGCGAAGGCGACUUACUGGGCUCAUUCUGACGCUGAGGAACGAAAGCGUGGGUAGCAAACAGG
This 402-nucleotide ribosomal RNA is filed under the name Fusobacteriota bacterium. RNAcentral describes it as "Fusobacteria bacterium partial 16S ribosomal RNA". It matches the Rfam family "Bacterial small subunit ribosomal RNA", at positions 355 to 776 of the family's 1533-position model. Lineage: Bacteria; Fusobacteriati; Fusobacteriota. The record is from RNAcentral.